CCCUUAGAUGUCCUGGGCUGCACGCGCGCUACACUGACACAUGCAACGAGUUUUUCCUUGCCUGAAAGGGUUGGGUAAUCUCCUUGAAAGUGUGUCGUGAUGGGGAUAGAUUAUUGCAAUUAUUAAUCUUCAACGAGGAAUUCCUAGUAAGUGCAAGUCAUCAGCUUGCGCUGAUUACGUCCCUGCCCUUUGUACACACCGCCCGUCGCACCUACCGAUUGAAUGGUUCGGUGAAGAUCUCGGACUUCGAUAUUUGUUCUUCAUUGAACUUAUAUAGUGGGAAGUUAUCUGAACCUCAUCAUUUAGAGGAAGGUGAAGUCGUAACA
This 326-nucleotide ribosomal RNA is filed under the name uncultured eukaryote. Its description in RNAcentral is "partial 18S ribosomal RNA". It matches the Rfam family "Eukaryotic small subunit ribosomal RNA", at positions 1470 to 1796 of the family's 1831-position model. The record is from RNAcentral.